RNAcentral lists this ribosomal RNA (261 nucleotides) under uncultured euryarchaeote. Its description in RNAcentral is "partial 16S ribosomal RNA". It matches the Rfam family "Archaeal small subunit ribosomal RNA", at positions 1 to 266 of the family's 1478-position model. The record is from RNAcentral. Lineage: Archaea; Methanobacteriati; Methanobacteriota.
UUCCGGUUGAUCCUGCCAGAGGUCACUGCUAUUGGGAUUCGACUAAGCCAUGCGAGUCGUGAGGGUUCGGCCCUCGGCAGACGGCUCAGUAACACGUAGAUAAUUUGCCCUUAGGUGGAGGAUACCCUCGGGAAACUGAGAAUAAUACUCCAUAGAUCUAGACUGCUGGAAUGCUUUUAGAUUGAAAGAUUUAUCGCCUAAGGAUAAGUCUGCGGACUAUCAGGUUGUAGUCAGGGUAACUACCUGACUAGCCUACGACGG